UACGAAGGGGGCUAGCGUUGCUCGGAAUUACUGGGCGUAAAGCGCACGUAGGCGGCUUUCUAAGUCGGGGGUGAAAUCCUGGAGCUCAACUCCAGAACUGCCUUCGAUACUGGAGAGCUCGAGUCCGGGAGAGGUGAGUGGAACUGCGAGUGUAGAGGUGAAAUGCGUAGAUAUCAAGAGGAACACCUGAGGUGAAGACGGGUUGCUGGGCUGACACUGACGCUGAGGAGCGAAAGCGUGGGGAGCGAACAGG
This 253-nucleotide ribosomal RNA is filed under the name uncultured bacterium. RNAcentral describes it as "partial 16S ribosomal RNA". It matches the Rfam family "Bacterial small subunit ribosomal RNA", at positions 524 to 776 of the family's 1533-position model. The record is from RNAcentral.